UUUUUGAGGGGCCGCUUCCCCCACAUGUAUUUAGGCUCUCCAAAUUAAGAGAUUUGGACCUCUCAGACAAUAGAAAUUUAUUUGAAGGAAGUAUUCCUAUUGGACUGGGACUCUUGACUAACCUCAGGUACUUAGAUCUAUAUUCCACUAAUCUCAGCGGCUAUAUUCCAUCUGACAUUGGAAACCUGAAGCUACUAGAAGUUCUUGUUAUCAGUUAUAAUCAAUUGAGUGGACAGCUUUCAAAGAUCAUUUCUAAUCUCACAAAUCUUAUAAUGCUUGAUGUAAGUGAUAAUAGUCUUAGUGGAAAUAUUCAGAGUGACUUGUGGAUACAUCCAACUUUGGAAUUCAUCGCUAUGGGUGGGAACCAUUUUACGGGUAUAGUUUUUCUCUAUAGAUCUUUUCCUUUUGUCUUAUUUAACUAAGCUAGUAAUCUGGUUAUUGCAGUUUUACCAAAGUUUCAACAAUCUUGACAGGUGAACUUCCAAACUGUUUGGGGAAUCUUGCUGAUGGAUUGCGUGUCAUUAAUCUUGCUAGUAAUCAGUUUCGAGGAACAGUACCAACUACUUUCUCCAGGAGUUGUCAGCUGACAUAUCUAAACAUGGAUAAUAAUGAGUUUGAAGGAUUGUUGCCCCCAUCUUUGGCGAAUUGUGAGCACUUGAAAAUUCUUGAUAUUGGCAAUAAUGAAAUAGGUGGUACAUUUCCGUCAUGGCUUUAUGCACUUGGAGAUCUAGAAGUCCUUGUCUUGAAAUCAAAUAAACUCUAUGGUACAAUAAGUGGAAGGAGCAGUGAAGAUCCCUUCCCCAAGUUGCGGAUUGUGGAUCUGUCCAACAAUCAAUUCACUGGUCAUUUGCCAAUUCAAUACUUUAAGAAUAUGAAAUCAACUGAUAAUUUGUAUAGCUAUCAGCAUUCCACAGGAGUUUUUUCUUUCCUUUAUGAAGCAGCAGUGUCGUUAACUUUGAAGGGAACAGAGUAUGAAGUAGCAAAGAACCUUCAUAUUUACACAGCCAUUGAUCUGUCGUGCAAUAAAUUUCAGGGAGAAAUUCCAAAGGUUACUGGAGAGCUUAGAUGGCUUGCAUUGCUCAAUUUAUCGCAUAAUAGUCUGACAGGACCUAUCCCAUCGUUGCUGAGAAAUAUGAAAGAACUCCAAUCUUUAGAUUUGUCCUCAAAUCAACUGACAGGGGUCAUUCCACCUCAGUUAACUGCAUUGACAUUUCUAGAGGUCUUAAACUUCUCGAAAAACCAUCUCAGUGGAGAGAUUCCUCAGAAAGGACAGUUCAGCACAUUCAAUAAUGAUUCUUAUCUUGGAAACUCUGCGUUAUGUGGAUCACCUUUGACGAAGAAAUGUGUAAACACUGUAUCACCUCCACAGGAAGUCGGAAAUGGUGAUGAAGAUGAUGCGGGUGAUGAAUUGACAUGGGAAGCAAUCGUGAUGGGAUAUGGAUGUGGACUGAUAUGUGGAUUGUCAUCUGCGUACAUUGUUCUCAAACUAGGAAGGCCUUGGUGGUUUGUGAGAUAUAUCGAAGUACUGCAACUGAAGUUGAUGAAAAGAUAUGCAUGAAGAAAGGUACUGGUCGAUCAAGACGAAUUUGAAAGUUGUUGUCCUUGUGGACAUUUCUGAACCUGUAGUGUACUAGCUGCAUAAGUAUUUGGUAUUAUGUAAUAAUCCGUUUGGUCGGGACUCAUAAUGAUUUCUCUUGCUUCAGGGGUAUUUAUAUUAACCUUGGUAUUGUGUCCUAGCUGUAAUAUACUGUUUGGUCGGGACUCAUAAUCAUAUUUCUUGCUGGGUAUUAAUAUUAACCUUGUUAUCUUGAUCUAUGUUAAUGCAAAUUAAAGUGAAUGAAAAAACAAAAAAAUAUGCAUCAAAUCCGCUGUUUGAAACAAUUCAAUAAUAAACUCGAGUUUUCCAGGACCAAAUCCACAUAUUCAAUAUCACACUCUUCCUGUGAGGAAACAAAUAUGGAGAAACAUUUCUGUUUACAAAACUUUUACCAUUAUACACUCUUAUAGUACUGGUUAAGAGUUCCUAAACUAAAAUUAUCAGUUCUAUGUGAGUAUGCUUUCAAAUAAGAAUUCGUUGUUCCGCCUAGUCCAAAACUACUCUAAAACUAUAUCGCUGGUAGUCUUUCAGUUCAUCCUACUGUAUGCAAUAGUUUCAUACAUAGGUAACUCGGCCUUGUGUGGACUUCCUUUGACAAAAAAGGGUUAAUAGGCUAAAACAUAAUCGAACUGACCCAAAACUUGCAACAAAUAGGAAGGCCUUGGUGGUUUGUGAGAUACAUCGAAGUGCUGCAACUUAAGUUGAUGUUAUGAAGAACUAAAAAUAUUGUUCCGUCAAGACCAACAACUUGAAAAUGUGUUCUGAAUCUGUAAUAAUAUUAAAAUAUUAUAAUAUAAUUCAUUUAACACUAUCAUCCGAUCAAUUUAAUUUAUUAUCAUUUAGUCAAUAUAUAUAGAUGGAUAUGAAUUGUCUUCCCUCGAACUUUGAGUUGUCAUAGUCCUUAAACAUAUUAAACACUUUGAAAAUUUGUUUCUGCAAGUCUAAAUUGUAGACAACACUUUCAAAGUUAGUUGCCGAAUAGACUCAUUUUGAAAAAAUUGGUUAGAUUCCGGAUAAAUUCAUUAAUCAGAAUUAAAUAUUUCAUGACCCUAACUCAAUCUGUUGUAAAUUGAUGUUGAGUUCAGGUAACACUGGCAGGUAUAAGGCAUAUAAAUAGCAGUCUCAUUAAUUGUGAAGGGAACAGAGUAUGAAGUAAGAAAUAACCUUCAUAUUUACACAGCCAUUGAUCUGUCGUGCAACAAAUGUCUGGGAGAAAUUCCAAAGGUUACUGGAGAGAGCUUAGAUGGCUUGCGAUUGCUCAAUUUAUCUCAUAAUAGUCUUUUUUUGAAAAAAGAAAAUAAUUCAAUAAUGAAAAAUCAUACUAAAUCCACAGAUAUAAUCGAAAUUGAACAAACGCAGAAUCAUAUCACCAUUGAAUCCUUCAGAGACGGCGGCUACUUCAAGGUGAGAGAAAUUUAGGGUUUUGCUUCUUAUCUCUAAAAUAGUUAAUUGAAGAGUCAUCUCAUAAUAGUCUUUGAAGUAUUACUAGGGAAAAUAUAUCUUCAUAAUGAAAAAUAAUUAUCAUUUUAAAAAAAAUUCACGAUAGAGGGGCCAUUUGGAUGAGUUUAAAUAAGUGCUUUUGGUAAAAUUUAAGUUCUUUAAUUUCCAAUUGUUUUAGAAGUUUAAUUAGUAAUUAAUAACAUGUGUACGGUUGGAGUUUUUUUGAGUCUAGCGGUGAUAGUUGUUUGAAAAACUGAUAUACAAGUCUAACAAAGUUUAAGUUAAAUAACUUUAAUUCAUAACUAUUUUGUUACCAAUCUACCAUUUCUUGUGUUUGGGUCUUUUUAAUAUAUGUUGCUACUUUAUGGGUAAUAUCUUUAUCUUCGAAGGAGUUUGUGUUUGUCACUUUGUCAUAACAAUGUCACUACCAUCUCUUUCAUUUUGUAAAAAUCUUAUAUAUAGUGAAUGAUAGCUUGAACUCCUUAUUUAUUUCAAUUAUGAAACAUGAUAUAGAUUUUAUAGAGUUAUUUUACAAAUUAAAUUGUUUGACUUCUUAGUAAAGGAUGUCAAUAAUGUUCAACCUAGUACGUAAUAUGUGUAAUCCGAAAUGAUAUUGUUGUCUGUUCUUUCUACUUUAUGGAUUAUAUCGCUGAUACCAGUAAUUUUAUGCUUCACUGCAUGAUGCAGCUCUCAUGUUAUUAACAGCUAAACUCGUGCCAACACUUUGCGAUGCAAAAUAGUGGCACAAAAGUAUUUUCAUAUGUGUAUUUAUUCGGAAAAUACGUGUAUUUAUUCGGAUAUUAAAGUUAGUAUGGACAUUUGUGUUGAUAAUUUGAGCCCUCUUCUCUUCCAAGUCUUGGGCGGACUCUUUCCAAGUCUCCUGAGGACCCAUAGGCUCAAAUUAGUCCAUUAAAAUUUAUGAUCUGAAAGCUCUCUGCGCACUAAUUUCUCCGCCAAACGAAAAAUCAACAUUUCAUGUACUAACUAUUUCCAUAAUAAUUAACAAGUAUAAAUCAUAUAUAUUUUUCCAUAGAACAUAAAUAGAUGGGGUACUAACAAAACCUCUAGUCAAAUUAAUUAAUACCGUUAUGAUUUCGCAAACACAGCAGACAGCAGGCGUAAGGCUAGCUUAUAAAUAGAAGUGUAGUAUUGGGUUGAUGGUCAAGUUGAGUGGAAGUAUGGCACACUUUGUAAAGCCUUGUUAUCCUCUUCUCUUUGUUUUCUUUCUCUCAUUACUUCAAUCCAUUCUAACAACACAAGAGGGAGAAGCUCUUUUGAAAUGGAAGAAUAGCCUAGCCCCUUCUUCUUUUCUCGACUCUUGGUCCCUCACCAAUCUCGAUAAUCUUUGUAACUGGACUGGCAUUACCUGUAACUCUGCAGGUUCAGUCUCUAAGAUUAACCUUUUUGAGAAACAACUUGAUGGAAUGUUGUCCGAGUUUGGUUACACUUCAUUUCCAAAUCUCAACAAUCUCACCCUCGCAUACAACUUCUUCUCGGGUCCAAUACCACCAGCCAUUGAGAAUUUAACACAGCUUCAGUAUCUGGAUUUUAGCAAUAAUUAUCUAGAUGGUCCCAUUCCGUUCCAGGUUAGUCAUCUUCAGAGCUUGCUCAUCUUAAACCUGUCACAAAAUGCAUUGCAAGCUCCAAAUUGGUCCCAUUUCUCUCCCAUGCCUUUUUUGCGCAUCCUCAACCUCAGUCACAAUCCUCUUUCGUCGAAAUUCCCAAAUUUUAUAUCCAAUUCUCAUAGCCUGACUCACCUUAGCCUUAAUUAUAACGAGUUUACUGGUGAUUUAGUAAGUGAAUCAAUAUUUGCCAAUCUGCAUAAUCUUCAAGUCCUCAGUCUUGUUGGCAAUUCUUUUGAGGGGUCAUUUCCGCCAGAUAUAUUCAAGCUUUCCAAAUUAAAACAUCUUAGCCUGUCACGUAACAAAUUCUCAGGUUCAAUUCCCAAUGACAUAAGGUUGCUUUGUGAUCUUGAAUACCUAUAUUUAGGCAACAAUUCCUUUGAAGGACCGCUUCCACCAAAUAUAUUCAAGCUUUCAAAAUUAAAACAUCUUUUUCUUUGGGGUAAUAAGUUUUCAGGUUCUGUUUCCAAUGAUAUAGGUUUGCUUUCUGAGCUUGAAACCCUCGAUCUUCGCUCUAAUUUUUUUGAGGGGACACUUCCGCCAAAUUUAUUCAAGCUCUCCAAACUAAAGAUUCUUUCCCUUUAUGAGAACAACUUUUCAGGUUUUAUUUCUAAGGAUAUAGGUUUGCUUUCUGAGCUUGAAAGCCUCGAUCUUGGCUCUAAUUUUUUUGAGGGGCCGCUUCCCCCACAUAUAUUUAGGCUCUCCAAAUUAAGAGAUCUGGGUCUCUCAGACAAUAGAAAUUUAUUUGAAGGAAGUAUUCCUAUUGGACUGGGACUCUUGACUAACCUCAUGUUCUUAGAUCUAUAUUCCAGUAAUCUCAGUGGCUAUAUUCCAUCUGAAAUUGGAAACCUGAAGCUACUAGUACUUCUUGAUCUCCGUUCUAAUCAAUUUACUGGACCGCUUUCAAAG
Molecule: long non-coding RNA, 5568 nt
Filed under: Daucus carota (carrot)
Lineage: Eukaryota; Viridiplantae; Streptophyta; Magnoliopsida; Apiales; Apiaceae
Description: long non-coding RNA (DCAR_LNC002603)
Source: RNAcentral